GAUGAAGAACGCAGCGAAAUGCGAAAAGUAAUGUGAAUUGCAGAAUUCAGUGAACCAUCGAAUCUUUGAACGCACAUUGCGCCCGCUGGAACUCCGGCGGGCACGCCUGUCCGAGCGUCAUUUCAACCCUCAGGCCCCCCUUCGCGGGCGGGCCUGGUGUUGGGGCCCGGCCGCUACCCUGCGGCCGUCCCCUAAAUUCAGUGGCGGCCUCGCCGUGAUCCCUUGCGUAGUAAUGCACCUCGCACCGGAGAGCGCCGUGGCCACGCCGUAAAACCCCCAAUUUUCAAUGGUUGACCUCGGAUCAGGUAGGGAUACCCGCUGAACUUAAGCAUAUCAAUAAGCGGAGGA
This 348-nucleotide unclassified non-coding RNA is filed under the name soil metagenome. Its description in RNAcentral is "partial contains 5.8S ribosomal RNA, internal transcribed spacer 2, and large subunit ribosomal RNA". The stretch from base 1 to 120 matches the Rfam family "5.8S ribosomal RNA", at positions 35 to 154 of the family's 154-position model. The record is from RNAcentral.